UGCGGCUGAGGCCAAGCUAAGGCCGCCUUCUCUGGUCACUGCUGGUCAGAGAUGAGCCAACCUGUCCCCUGUAGGAUGACAUAUGUAGCUCUGAAGUGAUUGGCUCACAGCCAAGAUGGUGUGAGUUGGUAGUACAAUUCCUCUGAAACAAUAACACCAAGGGCACUGGUUCCCUGGCGGUAUUAGCUGCUCGGGUAAUAGAGUGCAAGUCAGUUUCCCGUUCCCCUAGCUCGAUCCAGAUGGGCUACCAGCUGUGGUGGAAUCAGAGCUCCUGCACGCUUAGCUAAACCGCUAGCAAGCUCUUUAAUUCCAUAGAUAAAUGCCCAUGAUGCAACUGGUUGGGUCAAUUCUCUGUUAAGACAGUUUGUACAUUCAAUCCAUGCUGUCUAUGCUGCCUACUCCAGGCCAGGCCAUUGAAAUAGAUCUACCCCUGCCUUGAAAAGCCACUCUUAUCAAGCUGCCCUGUGCAGUUUUUGUGUCUCUGUACUAACUCCCCCGUGCUCGGCAGGGGAGAAACACAUCAACGAGAGACAGCAACAAUGUUCAGAGCCCGAUCCGUACCUCCUACUGGAUCCAUACGGCACAUGUGCAAUGGCUACCACCUUUACCACACAUAACAAAAAUAUAAACAACACUUAAAGUGCUGGAUUGUCGCUGCAUUGGCCCCUGAAGAAAUCAUGUUCAGGCCUUGUUGGUGUGGGGAGGCAAGUUGCAAACAUCAGAGAAUCAUGUAGUGGGCCCCAUUUAGCCCGGUUCAUUCCCUGCUCUAUUGCUAUAUGGAGGGAUGCAUUAUACAUCACAGUUGAAUGAUCCUAAACUUAUGUUAGUUUGCUAUGGAAAGCCUCAUAAUAUAGUAAAGGUUCAACAAUUAUUAGAGCUUUUUUUAUUGAUGUUUUUUCUCGAAAUAAGUGAUUCUUCAAACGUAUUGUAUAAAAAAUUAAAUAGAAAACGUUAUCGAAAUUAUACAAAAUU
Molecule: long non-coding RNA, 972 nt
Organism: Gadus morhua (Atlantic cod)
Lineage: Eukaryota; Metazoa; Chordata; Actinopteri; Gadiformes; Gadidae
Exons: 2
Source: RefSeq, a predicted model, not a curated record